ACUCCUACGGGAGGCAGCAGUGGGAAUAUUGCACAAUGGGCGCAAGCCUGAUGCAGCCAUGCCGCGUGUGUGAAGAAGGCCUUCGGGUUGUAAAGCACUUUCAGUAGGGAGGAAGGUGGUAGUGUUAAUAGCGCUAUCAUUUGACGUUACCUACAGAAGAAGCACCGGCUAACUCCGUGCCAGCAGCCGCGGUAAGACGGAGGGGGCUAGCGUUAAUCGGAAUUACUGGGCGUAAAGAGCUCGUAGGCGGUUUGUCACGUCUGCUGUGAAAAUCCAAGGCUCAACCUUGGACUUGCAGUGGGUACGGGCAGGCUAGAGUGCGGUAGGGGAGAUGGGAAUUCCUGGUGUAGUGGUGGAAUGCGCAGAUAUCAGGAGGAACACCAAUGGCGAAGGCACAUCUCUGGGCCGUAACUGACGCUGAGGCACGAAAGCGUGGGUAGCAAACAGGAUUAGAUACCCUGGUAGGUCAGU
Molecule: ribosomal RNA, 471 nt
Filed under: uncultured bacterium
Lineage: Bacteria
Description: bacterial SSU rRNA
Rfam family: Bacterial small subunit ribosomal RNA
Source: RNAcentral